RNAcentral lists this ribosomal RNA (305 nucleotides) under uncultured bacterium. RNAcentral describes it as "bacterial SSU rRNA". It matches the Rfam family "Bacterial small subunit ribosomal RNA", at positions 338 to 660 of the family's 1533-position model. The record is from RNAcentral.
CCUACGGGACGCAGCAGUGGGGAAUAUUGCACAAUGGGGGAAACCCUGAUGCAGCGACGCCGCGUGAAGGAAGAAGUAUUUCGGUAUGUAAACUUCUAUCAGCAGGGAAGAAAAUGACGGUACCUGACUAAGAAGCCCCGGCUAACUACGUGCCAGCAGCCGCGGUAAUACGUAGGGGGCAAGCGUUAUCCGGAUUUACUGGGUGUAAAGGGAGCGUAGGCGGUAAUGCAAGUCAGAAGUGAAAGCCAGGGGCUCAACUCCGGGACUGCUUUUGAAACGGGGUUACUAGAUUGCAGGAGAGGUAA